RNAcentral lists this long non-coding RNA (285 nucleotides) under Salvia miltiorrhiza (redroot sage). RNAcentral describes it as "long non-coding RNA (SMIL_LNC014054)". The record is from RNAcentral. Lineage: Eukaryota; Viridiplantae; Streptophyta; Magnoliopsida; Lamiales; Lamiaceae.
UAGGGCGUGUUUGAUAUUGGCUAAUACACUGUAUUAGCUAAUUUAGUACAGAUCAGUCUAGUGUUUGGUAUUAUUUAGUAAUAAUACGGAUGACCCGGUUUAAUCCCACGACCCAGUAUUAUUAAUCCAGAUUUCUUAGGAUUAAUAAUACCACCUUCCCCCUAGGAUUAACUUAAACCAGGAUAUUCUGUAUUUAGUCAUGAUAGCAAACACCAACUCAGUAUUAAUAAUUUGUCAUUAUCCACGCUAAAUAUUCUGGUUACAAAUUAUCCUACAUAAUCCUUU